This 460-nucleotide ribosomal RNA is filed under the name uncultured bacterium. Its description in RNAcentral is "partial 16S ribosomal RNA". It matches the Rfam family "Bacterial small subunit ribosomal RNA", at positions 338 to 795 of the family's 1533-position model. The record is from RNAcentral.
CCUACGGGUGGCAGCAGUGAGGAAUAUUGGUCAAUGGACGCGAGUCUGAACCAGCCAAGUAGCGUGAAGGAUGACUGCCCUAUGGGUUGUAAACUUCUUUUAUAUGGGAAUAAAACGUUCCACGUGUGGGAUUUUGUAUGUACCAUAUGAAUAAGGAUCGGCUAACUCCGUGCCAGCAGCCGCGGUAAUACGGAGGAUCCGAGCGUUAUCCGGAUUUAUUGGGUUUAAAGGGAGCGUAGGUGGAUUGUUAAGUCAGUUGUGAAAGUUUGCGGCUCAACCGUAAAAUUGCAGUUGAUACUGGCAGUCUUGAGUACAGUAGAGGUGGGCGGAAUUCGUGGUGUAGCGGUGAAAUGCUUAGAUAUCACGAAGAACUCCGAUUGCGAAGGCAGUUCACUGGACUGCAACUGACACUGAGGCUCGAAAGUGUGGGUAUCAAACAGGAUUAGAUACCCUAGUAGUC